Molecule: RNA transcript, 2377 nt
Organism: Nymphaea colorata (pocket water lily)
Lineage: Eukaryota; Viridiplantae; Streptophyta; Magnoliopsida; Nymphaeales; Nymphaeaceae
Exons: 3
Source: RefSeq, a predicted model, not a curated record
CUUUGCAGAACCUGGUUAUCUUAACUUGUUUUGUCUAUUGAUGUCGGAAGGUCUUGGUUCAUUUUUUAUUGAGUUGUUUUUCAGUAGUUUGUUGGAAACAUUUUUCUACCCGUUAUUUCAUUGUAAUCAUUAGUUUGUAGUUUAAAUCUUUAAUUUUUGUUGACGUAUUAAAUGUUUGGGUUUCAGUUUGGGUCUGGGUUCGGACUUGAUCCGAUCUAUUGUUCUUGUUGGGCUAUAUUUAAGCCAUUGUAACCCUAUUUUGAAAGUGUGAAUGAAAAUUGAAAGAGAGACCAGCUGCUAGUGAGCGUUGAACCCUCUUGGUUUUUUUUCUUGGUUGAGGUUUUUUCCACGUUAAGAUCGUGUUCUUUGAGUUCAUUAUCGAACAUGGUAUCAGAGCCAAAUUUCUGAAGAAAAAAUCAGUCGGUCUGAAGUCCCCGUGAAGCUGGUGAAGUUCCCGUGGGAACCUACCGUGAAGUUCCGGCGCCUCUGCUCACGCCCGCCGGUGCUGUUUUUUUUCGUUUUUUCGUAUUGGAGUCGUCCACGGUCGCCCGACUUUGCCGUGAAGGUCCGGUGUGUCUACGGUGAGCUCUGCAUCGCCCGACUUUGCCGUGAAGGUUCGUGCGUUGACCGUGAACUCUGCUGUGCGUUGACCGUGAACUCUGCUGUGCAUUGCCCGAAGGUCUUUCGACUACGCUGCUUUGCUGCCAUUGGUUCCUCGUCUCAGUCAGACGCCAGACUUGUUUGUUGCCGGUGCUCCCUGUCGCCACUGCACUCUGCCGCUGCUGCCCUCCGCCACUGCUGUUCUCUGCUGUGGCGCAAGACCUUCAGCCGCCUGGCCUGUCCGGUGCUUGAGCUCUUUGUGUGGCGUGCCGUGCAGGGGGCCGUGCUCUCGUCGACGACAGCAUCUUCCCGUCUACCGACCAACUCUCUGCCUGCGCAGUCUCUUCCCGUCUACCGACCAACUCUCUGCCGUGACGGGGUGCGCAGCAGAGUUGUAGCUAUCUCAGCGACUCAGCCGGUGUCUCCUGCGUGCAGCUGCAGUUCGCUCUUACCGCAGCCUGCUUCUGCUGCGCCACCUGCUCCUGCGUCUGCCGCCACAGCGCCGCCACCUCCACUUGCUUCUGCCGCCGACACUGUGCCUGUUUUUGCCACCGCCGCUUGCACUGUUGCAGUCACCGCCUGCACAACUGUUUUCGCUGUUAAAUUGUUGUGCCUCGGUGAUGGCAGAAUCAGCCUCUUCUGUCGUUAGUACUGACCAGGGAGAAGAAGUUGGGGUCUUUAGAACUCAAUACAUACCUGUUCAAGUCACCACCAUUCGUCUUAACAAGGACAAUUAUCGUCAAUGGUCUGCUGCUAUCACUACGGAAAUUGCUGAUAGGGGGCGGAUUGCUUAUGUCAAUGGAAAAAAGACUGAACCACCUAAGACCAGUCCAACAUGGGAUACAUGGUUCAUUGAAGACAAUCAAGUCAAAACUUGGAUUGUCAAUGCUGUAUCUUCUGACAUUCAACUCCUCAUUCUUCGUAAGAGGACUGCCAGAGAUAUGUGGGUUAUUUUAGAACAGAUGUAUGGUAAGAAGAAGAAGAAGGAUGUUCGAGUGUACCAACUGAUGAAAGAUGUCUAUGCCCUAAGGCAAGGAGAACUUUCCGUAGCAGAUUUUUAUGCGACAUUGAAAUCCAAAUGGGAGGAACUUGAUUACUAUUCUGAUGAUAAUUGGAAUUGUCACCAAGACCAGCUAUGUCAUUGGGCCAAAAAAUGGGAAGAUAGGGUGUUUUUGUUCUUGGCAGGACUAAAUGAUGACUUCGAAGGUAUAAGGAGUCAGAUUCUUAACUCAGAAAAAACGUUUAGCAUUGAAGAUGUCUAUUCUCGCAUUGAAGUUGAAGAGCAAAGACGUCUGAUCACAACAGGAAAAAAGGGGGCUCAUACCUCAUAUGGUGAAAGGUCUCCUCUUGUUAGCCGAGUUCCUAUGGGGGCAACUCGACCCACUUGGAAAUGUACUCAUUGCAAGAAAACCGGUCACACCAUGGAGUUUUGUUGGGAUUUGCAUCCUGAAAAGAAGAAUAGUCGUGGGAGAUUUUCUAAUGGGAAGAAGCCUAUUUCUGGUGUUAUUAAUUCUAAUGGGGAAAAAACUUCUAUAUCUGUUGAACAAAUUCACGAGCUUCGAGCAUACCUAAGCCAGAUUGAUACUAGUCAAGCCUAGACAUCAGAUGAUGUGAGAGUUAAUCACGCCCUUCGUACCUCUGGAGAAAAAGUCAUACUCAUACCGGAAAGUUCUUCCAGUGCUAUCAGAAGUUUAUCAUGCCAUUGCUCUUGACUGGCUUGGUUUUGGAUUUUCUGAUAAGCCUCAACCUGGUUAUGGUUUUGACUACACCUUGGAUG